GACGUAGGGGGCGAGCGUUGUCCGGAAUUACUGGGCGUAAAGCGCGUGCAGGCGGCUUUGUAAGUCCCGUGUGAAAGCCUACGGCUCAACUGUAGGAGGCCGCGGGAUACUGCGAGGCUAGAGGGCAGGAGAGGGAAGUAGAAUUCCCGGUGUAGCGGUGAAAUGCGUAGAUAUCGGGAGGAAUGCCAGUGGCGAAGGCGGCUUCCUGGCCUGCCCCUGACGCUGAGACGCGAAAGCUGGGGGAGCGAACGGG
This 253-nucleotide ribosomal RNA is filed under the name uncultured bacterium. RNAcentral describes it as "partial 16S ribosomal RNA". It matches the Rfam family "Bacterial small subunit ribosomal RNA", at positions 524 to 776 of the family's 1533-position model. The record is from RNAcentral.